AAAGAAGAGUCUAGGAACCGCCCAGCGGCAAAUUUCACCGUUGGGCGGUCCAACGCAAGGAGUAGCACCAGGCGUGGACGCUGGGCGGAUUUGCGAUUAGAGGCAAACCGUCGGGCGGUGGACCCUUGGCGCCGGGCGAUGGCACGAUUAUGGGAAAACCGCCGGGCGGCGUAAGUGUGACGUCGGCCGUUUGUCUGCUGGGCUUGGGCCUGUUUUCUGUGACGCUCCUCAGCUAUAAAUAGCCCUGUUACGAUUUCAUAUUCAUUCUUUUGACAGAAGAGGGCGGCC
RNAcentral lists this long non-coding RNA (288 nucleotides) under Vigna radiata. RNAcentral's name for it is "long non-coding RNA (VRAD_LNC013890)". The record is from RNAcentral. Lineage: Eukaryota; Viridiplantae; Streptophyta; Magnoliopsida; Fabales; Fabaceae.